Molecule: ribosomal RNA, 945 nt
Filed under: Burkholderia lata
Lineage: Bacteria; Pseudomonadati; Pseudomonadota; Betaproteobacteria; Burkholderiales; Burkholderiaceae
Description: 23S ribosomal RNA (partial)
Rfam family: Bacterial large subunit ribosomal RNA
Source: RNAcentral
CAAGUAGGGCGGGACACGUGAAAUCCUGUCUGAAGAUGGGGGGACCAUCCUCCAAGGCUAAAUACUCGUGAUCGACCGAUAGUGAACCAGUACCGUGAGGGAAAGGUGAAAAGAACCCCGGGAGGGGAGUGAAAUAGAUCCUGAAACCGCAUGCAUACAAACAGUCGGAGCCUCGUAAGGGGUGACGGCGUACCUUUUGUAUAAUGGGUCAGCGACUUACGUUCAGUAGCAAGCUUAACCGUAUAGGGCAGGCGUAGCGAAAGCGAGUCCGAAUAGGGCGUUCAGUUGCUGGGCGUAGACCCGAAACCAAGUGAUCUAUCCAUGGCCAGGAUGAAGGUGCGGUAACACGUACUGGAGGUCCGAACCCACUAACGUUGAAAAGUUAGGGGAUGAGCUGUGGAUAGGGGUGAAAGGCUAAACAAACUUGGAAAUAGCUGGUUCUCUCCGAAAACUAUUUAGGUAGUGCCUCGUGUCUCACCUUCGGGGGUAGAGCACUGUCAUGGUUGGGGGGUCCAUUGCGGAUUACCCCGCCAUAGCAAACUCCGAAUACCGAAGAGUGCAAUCACGGGAGACAGACAUCGGGUGCUAACGUCCGGUGUCAAGAGGGAAACAACCCAGACCGCCAGCUAAGGUCCCCAAAUAUAGCUAAGUGGGAAACGAAGUGGGAAGGCUAAAACAGUCAGGAGGUUGGCUUAGAAGCAGCCACCCUUUAAAGAAAGCGUAAUAGCUCACUGAUCGAGUCGUCCUGCGCGGAAGAUGUAACGGGGCUAAGCUAUAUACCGAAGCUGCGGAUGCGUGCUUUGCACGCAUGGUAGGAGAGCGUUCUGUAAGCCUGCGAAGGUGUCUCGGAAGGGAUGCUGGAGGUAUCAGAAGUGCGAAUGCUGACAUGAGUAGCGAUAAAGGGGGUGAAAGGCCCCCUCGCCGUAAGCCCAAGGUUUCCUACGC